GGUUGACCUCGGAUUCCCGGUAGG
This 24-nucleotide ribosomal RNA is filed under the name fungal endophyte sp. AP332. RNAcentral describes it as "partial 28S ribosomal RNA". Lineage: Eukaryota; Fungi. The record is from RNAcentral.